RNAcentral lists this ribosomal RNA (589 nucleotides) under Diplodia sapinea. RNAcentral describes it as "eukaryotic LSU rRNA". The stretch from base 215 to 368 matches the Rfam family "5.8S ribosomal RNA". The record is from RNAcentral. Lineage: Eukaryota; Fungi; Ascomycota; Dothideomycetes; Botryosphaeriales; Botryosphaeriaceae.
AACAAGGUUUCCGUAGGUGAACCUGCGGAAGGAUCAUUACCGAGUUCUCGGGCUUCGGCUCGAAUCUCCCACCCUUUGUGAACAUACCUCUGUUGCUUUGGCGGCUCUUUGCCGCGAGGAGGCCCUCGCGGGCCCCCCCGCGCGCUUUCCGCCAGAGGACCUUCAAACUCCAGUCAGUAAACGUCGACGUCUGAUAAACAAGUUAAUAAACUAAAACUUUCAACAACGGAUCUCUUGGUUCUGGCAUCGAUGAAGAACGCAGCGAAAUGCGAUAAGUAAUGUGAAUUGCAGAAUUCAGUGAAUCAUCGAAUCUUUGAACGCACAUUGCGCCCCUUGGCAUUCCGAGGGGCAUGCCUGUUCGAGCGUCAUUACAACCCUCAAGCUCUGCUUGGUAUUGGGCGCCGUCCUCUCUGCGGACGCGCCUUAAAGACCUCGGCGGUGGCUGUUCAGCCCUCAAGCGUAGUAGAAUACACCUCGCUUUGGAGCGGUUGGCGUCGCCCGCCGGACGAACCUUCUGAACUUUUCUCAAGGUUGACCUCGGAUCAGGUAGGGAUACCCGCUGAACUUAAGCAUAUCAAUAAGCGGAGGA